This is a long non-coding RNA of Panicum virgatum (switchgrass), 640 nucleotides long. RefSeq lists it as uncharacterized. The record is from RefSeq and is a predicted model, not a curated record. The transcript is spliced from 2 exons. NCBI's taxonomy places the organism in Eukaryota, Viridiplantae, Streptophyta, Magnoliopsida, Poales, Poaceae.
GCAAUGAUGAAUUCCUUGUUAUUUGGAUAUGCUUGUUGUUUCUUGCUGCCCACUUGGGUUUUAUUUAUUUGGGUGGAUUUAUUUCACUUGUCAGAUUCUCCAAGUUCAUGCUUUGAUUUUCUGAUUCAAUUCAAUAUUCAAGUUGCAUGUGCUUCCCUACAUAUUAUUCAAGUGCCAGGGGUUUGAACAAACCCCAGUUGUGCAAAUUGGUCCUUAUGUUCAGGCAGUGGUGAAGCCAGCCCAGGAAAUGAUCUAGGGCGGAGUUCUACGAUAAAUUUUUUGCACGGUUGGAACAAAGCACCGAGGUAGCAUGCCUGGCUGCAGGCGCCCACAGUGGCGCACGGGAUCCGCUGGCGUGGUCGGUGGGUGCCGAGGCGGGGCUCGCUGAUCAUGUUUGCAUGGGAUGGGAGUAGCCACUUCAUGAUGAGCAUGCACACAUUUUUUCGAUUCAUUAAACAAAUGUCUAGGCUGAAUAAUUCCUUUGAUUUUGAGAACUGUCGUGUGGUCGAUUGGAUGUCGGUUAAGUUUACUCGGUCGUGUUAGUUGAUGUGGAGUUCUUGAUAAUAUUUUUUAUACCAUCUUGCUUAUAUGACUUGUGUGCCCGCAAAUGUUAGAAUUUAUAGAGGAGACAUUGCUGAAA